UUCAAAUCAAUCAUUACCUUGUUUUCCUGAUCCGAUCCUGUGUCCGCGUAAUGCAGUUUGUCAACAUUGACACUUACAACCAUUGCAGUAUGGUGCAAUUCGUUUUGUAUCAGCGGUACGCAUUUCUCUAAUUGGCAGCUUUCCUCGUCGUUUGUAAAUAACAAGUCAAGAAACCGAUUGUUUUGAUUAGGUAUUCCACAUACUUGAAGCAGAUCCGAUGCAGCCAUAUCAUCAACAAGGACGACUUCUUCCGCCGGUGCAUAAUUAACUAGCGCAUUUAUACUUGCCGUAUGAGCACAGUAACGAUCACAGCUUGAGCCAGGAGAUCGAUUCAUUAAUCACUGUGCUGGAGAAACGAUUGUUCACAGCAAUCAAUACUCCUCCUCCGGAAAUCUUAUCUGAAUUCGCAGAUGUGCGGUCACAGCGAAUGCGUAUACAUCAUAAUCGUUUUCAAGCGCAGACAAAAAAACAGCCUCGAGUCUCUUUCUACUGCGAAUGCUGUUCAUGUUUUGGCGGAUUAAUGCGAGCCCGAAACCGAGAGGAACUAUCAGCUGAAACGUUAUUGCUGGCAGAACGAUAGCUGCAUUGUUUGAUCCGUGCGCCGUGGCAAAAAGGAAUCGACGAUUGGCUGUUUAUCGCUGACUGUUGGUUGAGCGAUGGAAACAGCGGCGGUGGUGACGUUGGUGGCAUUUUGUGGACCGAAUCGAAAAAUAUCUGUUCUGCGAGUGAAUUUGAAUUCAAAUUCACGGAAAUAAAUUCCUUUCUGCCAAGUCGAGGCGGAAAGGGCCUUUUCCUUGUUUUCGAUAUUUAUUCCAACUUUGAAUGACACCUGUUUGGUGUCCCUACUACCAGAACGGUGUCGAUCGGCUCGAGGCCAUUCAGCGGCGAUUCUUGCGAUAUGCCCUUAGACACCUGUACUGGCAAGACCCCUUUCGCUUGCCCAGCUACGAAAAUCGAUGCCGCCUCAUAGAUAUCGACACUCUUCAAGCCCGCAGACAAGCAACACAUGCCUCAAUUGUCGCCGACCUCCUGACAUCGCGAAUCGACUGUCCCACGCUUCUGGAGGAUAUUCCGCUUAGUGUACGACCCUGUGGAUUUAGGAAUCAGGAUCUUCAAUUGUACAUUCCCUUUCGAAUGAACAAUUACGGAGCUAACAGCGGUGCAAUGAAAUCGUUCAACCGUUUUUCGGAGCAUUUUGACUUCGACAUUUCGAGGGAUGUUUUCCGAAGAAAAGUGAUUAGGGCCUUGAGAACCCCAUAGUUAGAUUGAAAUGUUUUGUUUUUAACUUUAAUUUUAAGAUAUCAUUUGGAUCAACAUGUGAUCCGUUGAUCAGAAAUAAAUAACAAAUAGUGAACCUAUAUGUAAGAGAAGCGACGGCUGAAACACAAAAUUCCAAUGGAUACAAAAGAACUGUCAAAAGCGAUUCCAAUCGAUCCGAGCUUUUGUCGUGGAGCUUUAGCUUUCUAAUUGAAAACUCAACCAAGAAGAGUAUUGUGAUUGCUGUUGUGGUUCAAGCAAAUAAUUUUUAAACUCGUCAUAUGAAUUUAUGUUUAGGAGCAAUUUUUUCCACUGGUGGUUCGUGUUCGUAGUUUGAAAACUAUAGCCGGUGACAUAGUGAGUGCGAUGCGAUGCGAACCGGCGAAUGCGAUUC
Molecule: long non-coding RNA, 1651 nt
Organism: Uranotaenia lowii
Lineage: Eukaryota; Metazoa; Arthropoda; Insecta; Diptera; Culicidae
Exons: 6
Source: RefSeq, a predicted model, not a curated record